RNAcentral lists this ribosomal RNA (490 nucleotides) under uncultured bacterium. RNAcentral describes it as "partial 16S ribosomal RNA". It matches the Rfam family "Bacterial small subunit ribosomal RNA", at positions 30 to 507 of the family's 1533-position model. The record is from RNAcentral.
AUUGAACGCUGGCGGCAGGCCUAACACAUGCAAGUCGAACGGUAACAGGAAGAAGCUUGCUUCUUUGCUGACGAGUGGCGGACGGGUGAGUAAUGUCUGGGAAACUGCCUGAUGGAGGGGGAUAACUACUGGAAACGGUAGCUAAUACCGCAUAACGUCGCAAGACCAAAGAGGGGGACCUUCGGGCCUCUUGCCAUCGGAUGUGCCCAGAUGGGAUUAGCUAGUAGGUGGGGUAACGGCUCACCUAGGCGACGAUCCCUAGCUGGUCUGAGAGGAUGACCAGCCACACUGGAACUGAGACACGGUCCAGACUCCUACGGGAGGCAGCAGUGGGGAAUAUUGCACAAUGGGCGCAAGCCUGAUGCAGCCAUGCCGCGUGUAUGAAGAAGGCCUUCAGGUUGUAAAGUACUUUCAGCGGGGAGGAAGGGAGUAAAGUUAAUACCUUUGCUCAUUGACGUUACCCGCAGAAGAAGCACCGGCUAACUCCGUG